GACGAACGCUGGCGGCGUGCUUAACACGUGCAAGUCGAACGGAAAGGCCCUGCUUUUGUGGGGUGCUCGAGUGGCGAACGGGUGAGUAACACGUGAGUAACCUGCCCUUGACUUUGGGAUAACUUCAGGAAACUGGGGCUAAUACCGGAUAGGAGCUCCUGCUGCAUGGUGGGGGUUGGAAAGUUUCGGCGGUUGGGGAUGGACUCGCGGCUUAUCAGCUUGUUGGUGGGGUAGUGGCUUACCAAGGCUUUGACGGGUAGCCGGCCUGAGAGGGUGACCGGCCACAUUGGGACUGAGAUACGGCCCAGACUCCUACGGGAGGCAGCAGUGGGGAAUAUUGCACAAUGGGCGGAAGCCUGAUGCAGCAACGCCGCGUGCGGGAUGACGGCCUUCGGGUUGUAAACCGCUUUCGCCUGUGACGAAGCGUGAGUGACGGUAAUGGGUAAAGGAGCACCGGCUAACUACGUG
RNAcentral lists this ribosomal RNA (468 nucleotides) under uncultured bacterium. Its description in RNAcentral is "partial 16S ribosomal RNA". It matches the Rfam family "Bacterial small subunit ribosomal RNA", at positions 28 to 507 of the family's 1533-position model. The record is from RNAcentral.